RNAcentral lists this ribosomal RNA (300 nucleotides) under uncultured bacterium. Its description in RNAcentral is "bacterial LSU rRNA". It matches the Rfam family "Bacterial large subunit ribosomal RNA", at positions 115 to 469 of the family's 2925-position model. The record is from RNAcentral.
CGAAUGGGGAAACCCACCACUUUAUGUGGUACUUUAAACUGAAUACAUAGGUUUAAAGAGACAACCUGGAGAACUGAAACAUCUAAGUAACCAGAGGAAAAGAAAUCAAUUGAGAUUCCGUUAGUAGUGGCGAGCGAACGCGGACUAGGCCAGUAAUUUUGUUAAAAAAAUUUGAAUAGUUUGGAAAUGCUAACCAUAGAGGGUGAUAGUCCCGUAUGAGCAAUGUUUAACAAAAUUCUUGAGUAAAGCGGGACACGAGAAAUCCUGCUCGAAUAUAGGGGGACCACCCUCUAAGCCUAA